Molecule: non-coding RNA, 86 nt
Organism: Chloroflexi bacterium CSP1-4
Lineage: Bacteria; Bacillati; Chloroflexota
Source: Rfam
UCUGAAGUACGGCAAACCCGUCGAGAGGCGGGGACGCAAAGCCAGGGAUCCUCGGGCUCAACGCCAAGGACCGCCCGGCUGCCAGG